RNAcentral lists this transfer RNA (60 nucleotides) under Liposcelis sculptilimacula. RNAcentral's name for it is "tRNA-Pro". Lineage: Eukaryota; Metazoa; Arthropoda; Insecta; Psocodea; Liposcelididae. The record is from RNAcentral.
UUUCUAAUAAAUUUCUUUAAAAUCCAAAUUUAAAAUUUUCUUAAUUAAACUAAACUUGAA